Molecule: ribosomal RNA, 393 nt
Filed under: uncultured bacterium
Lineage: Bacteria
Description: bacterial SSU rRNA
Rfam family: Bacterial small subunit ribosomal RNA
Source: RNAcentral
CAUGGGCGCAAGCCUGAUCCAGCCAUGCCGCGUGAGUGAUGAAGGCCCUAGGGUUGUAAAGCUCUUUCAACGGUGAAGAUAAUGACGGUAACCGUAGAAGAAGCCCCGGCUAACUUCGUGCCAGCAGCCGCGGUAAUACGAAGGGGGCUAGCGUUGUUCGGAAUUACUGGGCGUAAAGCGCACGUAGGCGGAUCGUUAAGUGAGGGGUGAAAUCCCAGGGCUCAACCCUGGAACUGCCUUUCAUACUGGCGAUCUUGAGUUCGAGAGAGGUGAGUGGAAUUCCGAGUGUAGAGGUGAAAUUCGUAGAUAUUCGGAGGAACACCAGUGGCGAAGGCGGCUCACUGGCUCGAUACUGACGCUGAGGUGCGAAAGCGUGGGGAGCAAACAGGAUUA